UGGGGAAUAUUGCACAAUGGGGGAAACCCUGAUGCAGCGACGCCGCGUGAGUGAAGAAGUGAUUCGUCACGUAAAGCUCUAUCAGCAGGAAAGAAAAUGACGGUACCUGACUAAGAAGCCCCGGCUAACUACGUGCCAGCAGCCGCGGUAAUACGUAGGGGGCAAGCGUUAUCCGGAUUUACUGGGUGUAAAGGGAGCGUAGACGGCAGGGCAAGUCUGAAGUGAAAGCCCGGGGCCCAACCCCGGGACUGCUUUGGAAACUGUCCGGCUGGAGUGCAGGAGGGGUGGGCGGAAUUCCUAGUGUAGCGGUGAAAUGCGUAGAUAUUAGGAGGAACACCGGCGGCGAAGGCGGCCCACUGGACUGUAACUGACGUUGAGGCUCGAAAGCGUGGGGAGCAAA
Molecule: ribosomal RNA, 400 nt
Filed under: uncultured bacterium
Lineage: Bacteria
Description: bacterial SSU rRNA
Rfam family: Bacterial small subunit ribosomal RNA
Source: RNAcentral